This 588-nucleotide ribosomal RNA is filed under the name uncultured bacterium. Its description in RNAcentral is "partial 16S ribosomal RNA". It matches the Rfam family "Bacterial small subunit ribosomal RNA", at positions 355 to 1375 of the family's 1533-position model. The record is from RNAcentral.
UGGGGAAUUUUGGACAAUGGGCGAAAGCCUGAUCCAGCAAUGCCGCGUGUGUGAAGAAGGCCUUCGGGUUGUAAAGCACUUUUGUCCGGAAAGAAAUCCUUGGCUCUAAUACAGUCGGGGGAUGACGGUACCGGAAGAAUAAGCACCGGCUAACUACGUGCCAGCAGCCGCGGUAAUACGUAGGGUGCAAGCGUUAAUCGGAAUUACUGGGCGUAAAGCGUGCGCAGGCGGUUUGCUAAGACCGAUGUGAAAUCCCCGGGCUCAACCUGGGAACUGCAUUGGUGACUGGCAGGCUAGAGUAUGGCAGAGGGGGGUAGAAUUCCACGUGUAGCAGUGAAAUGCGUAGAGAUGUGGAGGAAUACCGAUGGCGAAGGCAGCCCCCUGGGCCAAAUACUGACGCUCAUGCACGAAAGCGUGGGGAGCAAACAGGAUUAGAUACCCUGGGUAGUCCACGCCCUAAAACGAUGUCAACUAGUUGUUGGGGAUUCAUUUCCUUAGUAACGUAGCUAACGCGUGAAGUUGACCGCCUGGGGAGUACGGUCGCAAGAUUAAAACUCAAAUGAAUUGACGGGGUCAUAGCUGUUUCCU